CCACCUUUUCCUUGUAGCGGAAUCACACAAGCCCAAUCACACAGUAUGUGACGUCCUGCGCAUACCAAAAUAAUUAGAUGGAAGUCAAUGAAUAAAAGUAUGCAAGAAUAUUCUUCCCCCGCAAGGCCAUCUUCGGUCGGUCUAUUUACGGAUGAGAGAAGCAGAUAGAAUGAUAAGAGGGCUCGUUGUUUGGUGGGAAGGGAUACCGUGGGCCC
Molecule: long non-coding RNA, 215 nt
Filed under: Elaeis guineensis (African oil palm)
Lineage: Eukaryota; Viridiplantae; Streptophyta; Magnoliopsida; Arecales; Arecaceae
Description: long non-coding RNA (EGUI_LNC055541)
Source: RNAcentral